This 337-nucleotide unclassified non-coding RNA is filed under the name Hevea brasiliensis (rubber tree). The record is from RNAcentral. Lineage: Eukaryota; Viridiplantae; Streptophyta; Magnoliopsida; Malpighiales; Euphorbiaceae.
GUACCUAAAGUAAAUAGCAAAAAUUAUGGGUUUAAUGUGGGAUAAGUGAAAAUUAAACUUAUAAUAUGAUUAAUUUGAGUAAGUGGACCACUAUAGAAUAAAGUAAAAACAAAAUGGGUAGGUGUACACUUAUUACACAAUCUGCAAAUUCAUUUUCUCCAAAUCCUUCACCCAUGGCCGAAUGAAUUUCUCCAAAAAGCUCCCAUGGCCGCCCACCUUCAAACCUUCACAAUCCUAUGAUCAAGCCUUCUUUUCCCACACCUAUCUUCAUUAAAAUUUGUCGCCACAUCACAAGGAAGAAUUAGAUACCAACAUUAAGAAGUUUUAGUGAAGAUUU